UCAACCAUCCGGCUUUAAUUCUAUAACUAACAUCCUCCUCACAUUCCCCUUCUAUUUGAAGGAUUGAGCUGAAAUAUUUAAAGUGAUUACUUUGGGGAAAUUAAAUAACAUAUAUUAUAUCAAAAUAAUUACUUUCAAAAUACAACCCACAAGCCAACUUUUAAUUAUCCACUAUAAUAUAAAAUCAUAAAAUCAUAAAAUUAUGUAUUUAAUUCCCUAUAACAAAAAUAUUACUACGAUUGUUGCAGGUUCUAGACUGAACCCUUCACGAAUCUGUAUCUUUAUCUAUAUAACAAUUAAUCUCAAAAGUAGUUUUCAAGUGCCAUUCUUUUCAUUCGUCAUUUGGUCAUUUAUCCCUAUUUAUUCAUUUUACCUGUGAUCAAUCUCUAUCUCAUUUAUUCUUGGUGUUUUUCCUUCCUAUUUAGUAAUGCACUACUUUAACACUUUAUGCCUUUUGGAGUCACUUGAUGGUUACAAUGUAUAUAUUUUUUUUUUGUUGGAAUGAUGGUUACAAUAUAUUAUCUCUAUAUUAUAAACUAAAAUUAAAUAACAUA
This 554-nucleotide unclassified non-coding RNA is filed under the name Hevea brasiliensis (rubber tree). Lineage: Eukaryota; Viridiplantae; Streptophyta; Magnoliopsida; Malpighiales; Euphorbiaceae. The record is from RNAcentral.